Molecule: ribosomal RNA, 348 nt
Filed under: Actinomycetota bacterium
Lineage: Bacteria; Bacillati; Actinomycetota
Description: bacterial SSU rRNA
Rfam family: Bacterial small subunit ribosomal RNA
Source: RNAcentral
CCAAUGGAGAGUUUGAUCCUGGCUCAGGACGAACGCUGGCGGCGCGCCUAACACAUGCAAGUCGAGGGAGAACCGGACCUUCGGGUCCGGGGAGACCGGCGAACGGGUGAGUAACACGUGAGGAACCUGCCCUGUAGACCGGAAUAACCACGGGAAACCGUGGCUAAUGCCGGAUACGCUCCUUGGCCCGCAUGGGCCGGGGAGGAAAAGGUCUGCCGCUACAGGAUGGCCUCGCGGCCUAUCAGCUUGUUGGUGGGGUAACGGCCCACCAAGGCGACGACGGGUAGCUGGCGUGAGAGCGCGACCAGCCACACUGGGACUGAGACACGGCCCAGACUCCUACGGGAG